AUUGAACGCUGGCGGCAUGCCUUACACAUGCAAGUCGAACGGUAACAGGUUAAGCUGACGGGUGGCGAACGGGUGAGUAAUACAUCGGAACGUGCCCAGUAGUGGGGGAUAGCCCGGCGAAAGCCGGAUUAAUACCGCAUACGACCUAAGGGGGAAAGGGGGGGAUCGCAAGACCUCUCGCUAUUGGAGCGGCCGAUGUCAGAUUAGCUAGUUGGUGGGGUAAAAGCUCACCAAGGCGACGAUCUGUAGCUGGUCUGAGAGGACGACCAGCCACACUGGGACUGAGACACGGCCCAGACUCCUACGGGAGGCAGCAGUGGGGAAUUUUGGACAAUGGGCGCAAGCCUGAUCCAGCCAUGCCGCGUGCGGGAAGAAGGCCUUCGGGUUGUAAACCGCUUUUGUCAGGGAAGAAAUCCUUUGGGUUAAUACCUCGGGGGGAUGACGGUACCUGAAGAAUAAGCACCGGCUAACUACGUG
RNAcentral lists this ribosomal RNA (477 nucleotides) under uncultured bacterium. RNAcentral's name for it is "partial 16S ribosomal RNA". It matches the Rfam family "Bacterial small subunit ribosomal RNA", at positions 30 to 507 of the family's 1533-position model. The record is from RNAcentral.